This 560-nucleotide long non-coding RNA is filed under the name Pongo abelii (Sumatran orangutan). RNAcentral's name for it is "lincRNA". The record is from RNAcentral. Lineage: Eukaryota; Metazoa; Chordata; Mammalia; Primates; Hominidae.
AGUGAUUGGCAUUCUGUGUGGUGAACAGCAGGACCUAGACUGACCUUUGGCGUUUGGGUAACAGUGGCUGAUGCUACUGGUGGAGGAACCACACCUUGAGAAACACUGAUCUAGGCACCUUCCACUCCUCUCAGUCUAUAGAUGGGAAAAUGGAAACUUGGAGAGGGUGGUGCUUACCCCACGUCUCAAGUUUCCUGCUCCUGGAGAAGAAAGACACCAGGAGAUUAUGGGGUUUCCCUCUCAGUAGCUGGAUCAUUCUGAAAGCGUUUUUCUUUGAAGGCAACAUAACUAGGAAGAAAUAAAUGGCUUCGGGCAUGCUGGACUUGCAAACACAAAUUUAUGAAGUAACAGCUAGUGUCAUGAUGCUCCUGCCUCAAGAUGCCCUCCCAACCCGGAGCCUGGCUGCUUGGGUGAAACAUUUUCCCCUCCCUGAAUUGUCUUGCAAAAUGUAAACACACAUUGUCACUCUGAAGGAGUUAGUUUAUCAGAUUUCUUCCCUUGGUGAUAGGAGGGAUCUAGGGCAGGCUGAGCAGGAAGGUGAGGUGGAGGAUGACAGAAGC